AUUUUCCAUUUUUGUUUUCCUAUUUGUACUGGCUGCUUAUUUAGCCAAAUUCAAUCACCGUGUACAAAUAGGAAAACAAAAAUGGAAAAUCAUUAAUUAUCAGCAAAAAUAAUUAAAAAGCUCAUAUUGCUAAAUACAAUCCUGUACAACACACAGCAAAGAUCAGGCUCUGUAAUCCAUCAAUGGCCGGUUCAGCUCUGCCUCCGGAUUUCAUGUCUUCUCUAAAACCUGGCGGUGACGACAGAUGAGAAGGCUGCCCAUCCGAUCCGGGAGCACUCUCUGGCGAUAGAGAAAUAUCCGGUGGCUGAGCGGCGCCCAUCACGCCAUUUCCAGGCUUACUUGUCGCUAUCGAAUUCUUCCCAAAAAUCUCCCUCGGCAACAAAACUUUCGACACCCCAAAUAUCGCAACUGGAUUCUGAUCGAUAACCGUUUGCGUCACCGAUGCCUGAACUAUCCCUGAAUCGAUUGCCACCGACCCAUUAACUCUCGAGAUGUUGAGUGUGUAGCUACCAGCGCCGGUGGCUUCCGUGGCCAAUGUGGGCUGGACUGGGUUCACAAUCGACUCGAGGGAACCCAGUGGGUAAUACGAAUGCAAGACAUGGAACUUCAAGACCACAGCUUUUUUGUCAGCUGGUAGUGACUGUAAGCUCACGGUGGCCGGCAGAUCUGCAAAAGCGGAGUCUGUUGGGACAAAGAGAGUAAUUCCGGCGCCUCUUUCAUCGGCUUCAAAUUCAUCCACCACCCCAGAAGCCGAUAGCAUCGAUGCGGCCACAAAAAAAUUAUGCCCAUCUAUAAGUGCUUUCGUUAUGUUUAGGCCUAAUGGAGGCCGAGUCUCCGAUGCCAUGAGAUUGAACCCAUCGGGGACUAAAAGGGAAUUAACAGAAAGGAUGGAGAUGUUGUAUGGACGGGUUUUCAACAGAGACAAAACGGUGGCGUUUGAACCAGAGUAAGGGGACGGAGAAUUGAUGGUGACGGUGUUGGUGAUGGGAUUCCGGGUAAUGUUAACGGUGCCGGAAUUGGAGGCGGCGCGUCCAGUGGUUUGAAAGAGAGUGGUAACAAGAACACCAGUGGUAGGGAUCUGCUGGAGGUCAGACCAGGAGAAGUACUGCAAAAGGACAUGAUAACGAAGGAGGUCGGCAAGAGAGAAGGGAGAGAGGUGGCGCGUGAUUUCAACGGAGGCGGAGAGAUACGAAUUGGGUACAGCUAAAAGAGUGAGGGAAGAGCGAUGAGUGAGGUCAUAAGCCAAGGAAGAUGUAGAGGAAAGAAGAGCAGUGAAGGAGGAGAAGUCAGGGUAGGAAGAAAGGAGGGUGGUGAUGUUGAUGGCAAGAAUGGGAGUGGCGGAGGAUGAGAAGGACAGGAGUAGUAAAUAAGUGAAUGUAAUAGGGGUAAAAUGGGAAUUAGACAUGGGGAAUUUCUUCUUGAGUGCCACCAUUUUUUUCCUUUCUUUUUCUCUGCAAGAAAUGGUGGAUCAAGCAGAGAGAAAGGGAGAAGAGGUACAGUGAAUAGUGAGUAGAGAGAGAGUGUGUGUGAAUGUGAGAGAGAGAGAGAGAGAAGGGAUUGACG
RNAcentral lists this unclassified non-coding RNA (1563 nucleotides) under Hevea brasiliensis (rubber tree). Lineage: Eukaryota; Viridiplantae; Streptophyta; Magnoliopsida; Malpighiales; Euphorbiaceae. The record is from RNAcentral.